RNAcentral lists this ribosomal RNA (447 nucleotides) under uncultured bacterium. RNAcentral describes it as "partial 16S ribosomal RNA". It matches the Rfam family "Bacterial small subunit ribosomal RNA", at positions 29 to 523 of the family's 1533-position model. The record is from RNAcentral.
AGUGAACGCUGGCGGCGUGCUUAACACAUGCAAGUCGAACGCCCCGCAAGGGGAGUGGCAGACGGGUGAGUAACACGUGGGAACGUACCCUGUGGUUCGGAAUAACUUGGGGAAACUCAAGCUAAUACCGGAUAAGCCCUUAUGGGGAAAGGUUUACUGCCGAAGGAUCGGCCCGCGUCUGAUUAGCAAGUUGGGAGGGUAAUGGCUCACCAAGGCGACGAUCAGUAGCUGGUCUGAGAGGAUGAUCAGCCACACUGGGACUGAGACACGGCCCAGACUCCUACGGGAGGCAGCAAUGGGGAAUAUUGGACAAUGGGGGCAACCCUGAUCCAGCCAUGCCGCGUGAGUGAUGAAGGCCUUGGGGUUGUAAAGCUCUUUUACCCGGGACGAUAAUGACUGUACCGGGAGAAUAAGCCCCGGCUAACUUCGUGCCAGCAGCCGCCGUAA